Molecule: ribosomal RNA, 2927 nt
Filed under: Staphylococcus aureus
Lineage: Bacteria; Bacillati; Bacillota; Bacilli; Caryophanales; Staphylococcaceae
Description: bacterial LSU rRNA
Rfam family: Bacterial large subunit ribosomal RNA
Source: RNAcentral
AGAUUAAGUUAUUAAGGGCGCACGGUGGAUGCCUUGGCACUAGAAGCCGAUGAAGGACGUUACUAACGACGAUAUGCUUUGGGGAGCUGUAAGUAAGCUUUGAUCCAGAGAUUUCCGAAUGGGGAAACCCAGCAUGAGUUAUGUCAUGUUAUCGAUAUGUGAAUACAUAGCAUAUCAGAAGGCACACCCGGAGAACUGAAACAUCUUAGUAACCGGAGGAAGAGAAAGAAAAUUCGAUUCCCUUAGUAGCGGCGAGCGAAACGGGAAGAGCCCAAACCAACAAGCUUGCUUGUUGGGGUUGUAGGACACUCUAUACGGAGUUACAAAGGACGACAUUAGACGAAUCAUCUGGAAAGAUGAAUCAAAGAAGGUAAUAAUCCUGUAGUCGAAAAUGUUGUCUCUCUUGAGUGGAUCCUGAGUACGACGGAGCACGUGAAAUUCCGUCGGAAUCUGGGAGGACCAUCUCCUAAGGCUAAAUACUCUCUAGUGACCGAUAGUGAACCAGUACCGUGAGGGAAAGGUGAAAAGCACCCCGGAAGGGGAGUGAAAUAGAACCUGAAACCGUGUGCUUACAAGUAGUCAGAGCCCGUUAAUGGGUGAUGGCGUGCCUUUUGUAGAAUGAACCGGCGAGUUACGAUUUGAUGCAAGGUUAAGCAGUAAAUGUGGAGCCGUAGCGAAAGCGAGUCUGAAUAGGGCGUUUAGUAUUUGGUCGUAGACCCGAAACCAGGUGAUCUACCCUUGGUCAGGUUGAAGUUCAGGUAACACUGAAUGGAGGACCGAACCGACUUACGUUGAAAAGUGAGCGGAUGAACUGAGGGUAGCGGAGAAAUUCCAAUCGAACCUGGAGAUAGCUGGUUCUCUCCGAAAUAGCUUUAGGGCUAGCCUCAAGUGAUGAUUAUUGGAGGUAGAGCACUGUUUGGACGAGGGGCCCCUCUCGGGUUACCGAAUUCAGACAAACUCCGAAUGCCAAUUAAUUUAACUUGGGAGUCAGAACAUGGGUGAUAAGGUCCGUGUUCGAAAGGGAAACAGCCCAGACCACCAGCUAAGGUCCCAAAAUAUAUGUUAAGUGGAAAAGGAUGUGGCGUUGCCCAGACAACUAGGAUGUUGGCUUAGAAGCAGCCAUCAUUUAAAGAGUGCGUAAUAGCUCACUAGUCGAGUGACACUGCGCCGAAAAUGUACCGGGGCUAAACAUAUUACCGAAGCUGUGGAUUGUCCUUUGGACAAUGGUAGGAGAGCGUUCUAAGGGCGUUGAAGCAUGAUCGUAAGGACAUGUGGAGCGCUUAGAAGUGAGAAUGCCGGUGUGAGUAGCGAAAGACGGGUGAGAAUCCCGUCCACCGAUUGACUAAGGUUUCCAGAGGAAGGCUCGUCCGCUCUGGGUUAGUCGGGUCCUAAGCUGAGGCCGACAGGCGUAGGCGAUGGAUAACAGGUUGAUAUUCCUGUACCACCUAUAAUCGUUUUAAUCGAUGGGGGGACGCAGUAGGAUAGGCGAAGCGUGCGAUUGGAUUGCACGUCUAAGCAGUAAGGCUGAGUAUUAGGCAAAUCCGGUACUCGUUAAGGCUGAGCUGUGAUGGGGAGAAGACAUUGUGUCUUCGAGUCGUUGAUUUCACACUGCCGAGAAAAGCCUCUAGAUAGAAAAUAGGUGCCCGUACCGCAAACCGACACAGGUAGUCAAGAUGAGAAUUCUAAGGUGAGCGAGCGAACUCUCGUUAAGGAACUCGGCAAAAUGACCCCGUAACUUCGGGAGAAGGGGUGCUCUUUAGGGUUAACGCCCAGAAGAGCCGCAGUGAAUAGGCCCAAGCGACUGUUUAUCAAAAACACAGGUCUCUGCUAAACCGUAAGGUGAUGUAUAGGGGCUGACGCCUGCCCGGUGCUGGAAGGUUAAGAGGAGUGGUUAGCUUCUGCGAAGCUACGAAUCGAAGCCCCAGUAAACGGCGGCCGUAACUAUAACGGUCCUAAGGUAGCGAAAUUCCUUGUCGGGUAAGUUCCGACCCGCACGAAAGGCGUAACGAUUUGGGCACUGUCUCAACGAGAGACUCGGUGAAAUCAUAGUACCUGUGAAGAUGCAGGUUACCCGCGACAGGACGGAAAGACCCCGUGGAGCUUUACUGUAGCCUGAUAUUGAAAUUCGGCACAGCUUGUACAGGAUAGGUAGGAGCCUUUGAAACGUGAGCGCUAGCUUACGUGGAGGCGCUGGUGGGAUACUACCCUAGCUGUGUUGGCUUUCUAACCCGCACCACUUAUCGUGGUGGGAGACAGUGUCAGGCGGGCAGUUUGACUGGGGCGGUCGCCUCCUAAAAGGUAACGGAGGCGCUCAAAGGUUCCCUCAGAAUGGUUGGAAAUCAUUCAUAGAGUGUAAAGGCAUAAGGGAGCUUGACUGCGAGACCUACAAGUCGAGCAGGGUCGAAAGACGGACUUAGUGAUCCGGUGGUUCCGCAUGGAAGGGCCAUCGCUCAACGGAUAAAAGCUACCCCGGGGAUAACAGGCUUAUCUCCCCCAAGAGUUCACAUCGACGGGGAGGUUUGGCACCUCGAUGUCGGCUCAUCGCAUCCUGGGGCUGUAGUCGGUCCCAAGGGUUGGGCUGUUCGCCCAUUAAAGCGGUACGCGAGCUGGGUUCAGAACGUCGUGAGACAGUUCGGUCCCUAUCCGUCGUGGGCGUAGGAAAUUUGAGAGGAGCUGUCCUUAGUACGAGAGGACCGGGAUGGACAUACCUCUGGUGUACCAGUUGUCGUGCCAACGGCAUAGCUGGGUAGCUAUGUGUGGACGGGAUAAGUGCUGAAAGCAUCUAAGCAUGAAGCCCCCCUCAAGAUGAGAUUUCCCAACUUCGGUUAUAAGAUCCCUCAAAGAUGAUGAGGUUAAUAGGUUCGAGGUGGAAGCAUGGUGACAUGUGGAGCUGACGAAUACUAAUCGAUCGAAGACUUAAUCAAAUU